GGAGAUAGAGGAGAGACAGGGGGAAUGGAGGAGAGGAGGUGAUAGAGGAGAGACAGGGGGAAUGGAGGAGAGGAGGUGAUAGAGGAGAGACAGGGGGAAUGGAGGAGGUGAGGUGAUAGAGGAGAGACAGGGGGAAUGGAGGAGAGGAGGAGAUAGAGGAGAGACAGGGGGAAUGGAGGAGAGGAGGAGAUAGAGGAGAGACAGGGGGAAUGGAGGAGAGGAGGUGAUAGAGGAGAGACGGGGGAAUGGAGGAGGCGAGGUGAUAGAGGAGAGACAGGGGGAAUGGAGGAGAGGAGGUGAUAGAGGAGAGACAGGGGGAAUGGAGGAGAGGAGGUGAUAGAGGAGAGACAGUUGGGAAUGGAGGAGAGGAGGUGAUAGAGGAGAGAGAGGGGGAAUGGAGGAGAGGGGGUGAUAGAGGAGAGACAGGGUGAAUGGAGGAGAGG
Molecule: long non-coding RNA, 443 nt
Organism: Oncorhynchus tshawytscha (Chinook salmon)
Lineage: Eukaryota; Metazoa; Chordata; Actinopteri; Salmoniformes; Salmonidae
Source: Ensembl